Carlito syrichta (Philippine tarsier) is the source of this 533-nucleotide RNA transcript. It is a transcript of the gene named deoxyuridine 5'-triphosphate nucleotidohydrolase, mitochondrial pseudogene, with no coding region annotated. NCBI's taxonomy places the organism in Eukaryota, Metazoa, Chordata, Mammalia, Primates, Tarsiidae. The record is from RefSeq and is a predicted model, not a curated record. The transcript has a single exon.
GAAGAGACCCCUGCCAUUUCUCCCAGCAAGGGUCCCCAACCUGUGAAGGAAGGCAGUAUGCAGCUCCGCUUUGCCAGGCUCUCCAAGCUUGCCUCAGCCCCGACUUGGGGGUUCACGUGGGCCAAGGGCUAUGACCUGUACAGUGCCUAUGAUGAUACAAUACCAGCUUUGGAGAAAGCUCUUGUGAAAACGGACAUUCAGAUAGCUCUUCCUUCUGGUUGUUAUGGAAGAGUAGCUCCAUGUUCUGGCUUGACUGCAAAACACUUUAUAGAUGUAGGAGCUGUUGUCAUAGACGAAGAUUAUAGGGGAGAUGUUAGUGUUGUACUGUUUAAUUUUGGCAAGGAAAAGUUUGAAGUCAAAAAAGGUCACCGAAUUGCACAGCUCAUUUGUAAAUGGAUGUUUUUUUAUCCAGAAAUAGAAGAAGUUCGAGUUUUAGAUGACACUGAAAGGGGUGCAGGAGGUUUUGGUUCCACUGGAAAUAAUUAAAAUUUAUGUCAAGAAUAGAAAAUAAGAAAUUGUACUUUUUUCUUAAA